AUACGGAGGAUGCGAGCGUUAUCCGGAUUUAUUGGGUUUAAAGGGUGCGUAGGCGGGCUGGUAAGUCAGCGGUGAAACGCAGGUGCUCAACACCUGACCUGCCGUUGAAACUGCCGGUCUUGAAUGCGGAUGCUGUGGGAGGAAUGUGUGGUGUAGCGGUGAAAUGCAUAGAUAUCACACAGAACACCGAUUGCGAAGGCAUCUCACAAAUCCGUGAUUGACGCUGAGGCACGAAAGUGCGGGGAUCGAACAGGAUUAGAUACCCUGGUAGUCCGCACUGUAAACGAUGAUGACUCGCUGUCGGCGAUAGACAGUCGGUGGCCAAGCGAAAGCGAUAAGUCAUCCACCUGGGGAGUACGACCGCAAGGUUGAAACUCAAAUGAAUCGGCGGGG
RNAcentral lists this ribosomal RNA (393 nucleotides) under uncultured bacterium. RNAcentral's name for it is "partial 16S ribosomal RNA". It matches the Rfam family "Bacterial small subunit ribosomal RNA", at positions 523 to 918 of the family's 1533-position model. The record is from RNAcentral.